AGAGUUUGAUCCUGGCUCAGAUUGAACGCUAGCGGGGAUGCUUUACACAUGCAAGUCGAACGGCAGCACGAGAGAGCUUGCUCUCUUGGUGGCGAGUGGCGGACGGGUGAGUAAUAUAUCGGAACGUGCCCAGUAGCGGGGGAUAACUACUCGAAAGAGUGGCUAAUACCGCAUACGCCCUACGGGGGAAAGGGGGGGAUUCUUCGGAACCUCUCACUAUUGGAGCGGCCGAUAUCGGAUUAGCUAGUUGGUGGGGUAAAGGCUCACCAAGGCAACGAUCCGUAGCUGGUUUGAGAGGACGACCAGCCACACUGGGACUGAGACACGGCCCAGACUCCUACGGGAGGCAGCAGUGGGGAAUUUUGGACAAUGGGGGAAACCCUGAUCCAGCCAUCCCGCGUGUAUGAUGAAGGCCUUCGGGUUGUAAAGUACUUUUGGCAGAGAAGAAAAGGUGUACUGCCUAAUACGAAGAGUACUGCGAC
This 482-nucleotide ribosomal RNA is filed under the name Alcaligenes faecalis. RNAcentral describes it as "bacterial SSU rRNA". It matches the Rfam family "Bacterial small subunit ribosomal RNA", at positions 8 to 473 of the family's 1533-position model. Lineage: Bacteria; Pseudomonadati; Pseudomonadota; Betaproteobacteria; Burkholderiales; Alcaligenaceae. The record is from RNAcentral.